GAUGAACGCUGGCGGCGUGCCUAAUACAUGCAAGUCGAGCGAACAGACGAGGAGCUUGCUCCUCUGACUUUAGCGGCUGACGUGUGAUUAACACGUGGAUAACCUACCUAUAAUACUUGGAUAACUUCGGGACACCUGAUCUAAUACCGGAUAAUAUAUUGAACCGCAUGGUUCAAUAGUUAAAGACGGUUUUGCUGUCUCUUAUAGAUGUAUCCGCUCCGCAUUAGCUAGUUGGUAAGGUAACGGCUUAUCAAGGCAACGAUGCGUAUCCGACCUGAGAGGGUGAUCGGCAACACUGGAACGGAGACACGGUCCAGAGUCCUACGGGAGGAAGCAGUAGGGAAUCUUCCGCAAUGGGAGAAAGCCUGACGGAGCAACGCCGCGUGAGUGAUGAAGGUCUUCGGAUCGUAAAACUCUGUUAUGAGGGAAGAACAAAUGUGUAAGUAACUAUGCACGUAUUGACGGUACCUAAUCAGAAAGCCACGGCUAACUACGUG
RNAcentral lists this ribosomal RNA (497 nucleotides) under uncultured bacterium. RNAcentral describes it as "partial 16S ribosomal RNA". It matches the Rfam family "Bacterial small subunit ribosomal RNA", at positions 28 to 507 of the family's 1533-position model. The record is from RNAcentral.